Molecule: transfer RNA, 57 nt
Filed under: Ovis aries (sheep)
Lineage: Eukaryota; Metazoa; Chordata; Mammalia; Artiodactyla; Bovidae
Rfam family: tRNA
About the family: Transfer RNA (tRNA) molecules are approximately 80 nucleotides in length.
Source: Rfam by way of RNAcentral
UGGCUCAGAUGAUAAAGCGUCUGCUUACAAUGCAGGAGACCCAGGUUCGAUCCCUGG